GCUCAGGACGAACGCUGGCGGCGUGCCUAACACAUGCAAGUCUAGCGCGAACGGGGGGCAACCCCCUAGUAGAGCGGCGCACGGGUGAGUAACACGUGGGUAAUCUACCCUCGGGUGGGGGAUAACACUCCGAAAGGAGUGCUAAUCCCGCAUGAGACCACGGUGACUGCGGUCACUGAGGCCAAAGGGGGCCGAGCAAUCGGUUCUCGCCUGAGGACAAGCCCGCGUCCCAUUAGCUAGUUGGUGAGGUAAUGGCCCACCAAGGCGACGAUGGGUAGCUGGUCUGAGAGGACGACCAGCCACACUGGGACUGGAACACGGCCCAGACUCCUACGGGAGGCAGCAGUGAGGAAUAUUGCACAAUGGGCGAAAGCCUGAUGCAGCAACGCCGCGUGAGUGAUGAAGGCCUUCGGGUUGUAAAGCUCUGUCGGGUGGGAAGAUGCGGUCCGGCCAAUCCCCGGAUCGUGACGGUACCACCAAAGGAAGCACCGGCUAACUCCGUGCCAGCAGCCGCGGUAAUACGGAGGGUGCGAGCGUUGUCCGGAAUUACUGGGCGUAAAGCACGUGCAGGCGGCUCGUUGUGUCGGGUGUGAAAUCCCGAGGCUUAACCUCGGAACUGCGCCCGAAACUGGCGGGCUUGAGUGCGGAAGGGGGAGGUGGAAUUCCCAGUGUAGAGGUGAAAUUCGUAGAUAUCGGGAAGAAUACCGGUGGCGAAGGCGACCUCCUGGUCCGCUACUGACGCUCAGACGUGAAAGCGUGGGGAGCAAACAGAAUUAGAUACUCUGGUAGUCCACGCCGUAAACUAUGAACACUAGGUGUUGGGGGUGACAAUUCCCUCAGUGCCGUAGCUAACGCGUUAAGUGUUCCGCCUGGGAAGUACGGCCGCAGGGCUAAAACUCAAAU
This 903-nucleotide ribosomal RNA is filed under the name uncultured bacterium. RNAcentral's name for it is "bacterial SSU rRNA". It matches the Rfam family "Bacterial small subunit ribosomal RNA", at positions 22 to 906 of the family's 1533-position model. The record is from RNAcentral.